AUCACCAUUUUUCCAAAUAAGGUAACCUCCCCAGGUUCAAGGGAUUUGGACAUGGACCUGUCUUUUGAGGGGUCACCAUUCAAUCACGACAGUGUGUGAAACAAGGGAAAACUGAACCACAAUUGAAACAGAUUGCAAAUGGAUGAAGUCAUUCUUAUAGAAUUUUGCCCUGGAAUAUUUGCUUGACAAGAGCCAGAGACAUACUCAGUUGGACCCAUGGAAGAGGUGGUCUCCAAGGUGGCGACAGAUUUAGUCCACCUGUUACUAUUGUGCUGGGACUAACUGAUCAGAAUGCUGAUCCUCCUGUAACAGAAGGGAAGGAGUCCACUUUCCUGAGGCUCAUAGGCUGGCAGAAUGACUCAACUCCUACCCCUUUAUCCCUGCAAGAAGCAUAGAACAUUUACUUCUCAGAAAUCCUCCAUCUGCUUCUCUACUGGAUAAGGAAUAAAACAAGAGUCCACUGAAGCUAGCUUAUCUUCUUCCCUUACCUUGUGAAUUUGUGCUCCUUAGCUCUUUUCACUUGGAGGGGAAACCUUUUUCUGGCUUCAUAACAGGAAUUAGGUGAGUAGUUUUUAAUUGGGCCAAUUCAGAUUUUUUUCUUUUCUCCUAUAAGUCCUCUUUUUCAUUACCAUUGGUUUCUCUGUUUUCCUACAUAAUUUUCUCUACUUUCUACCUGUAUUUAGAUUAUUUUCCAGCUACCCCACACUAGAAAGAUGUUUCUUGAGGACAUAGCUCCCAUCUUGUUUAUCUGUUUAGGCCUCCCAGUGCCUGGUAUAGAACUAUUACAGAGUAG
Molecule: long non-coding RNA, 793 nt
Filed under: Fukomys damarensis (Damara mole-rat)
Lineage: Eukaryota; Metazoa; Chordata; Mammalia; Rodentia; Bathyergidae
Description: lncRNA (ENSFDAG00000030904.1)
Source: RNAcentral